GGCCCGUUGGUCUAGUGGUUAAGACAGUUGACUGGCACACGCUUCUGAUCACGGGUUCGAACCCCGUACGGGCCA
This 75-nucleotide transfer RNA is filed under the name Ophiostoma novo-ulmi subsp. novo-ulmi H327. RNAcentral describes it as "tRNA-Ala (GGC) (tRNA-Ala-GGC-1-1)". It matches the Rfam family "tRNA". From Rfam's summary of the family: Transfer RNA (tRNA) molecules are approximately 80 nucleotides in length. Their secondary structure includes four short double-helical elements and three loops (D, anti-codon, and T loops). The record is from RNAcentral. Lineage: Eukaryota; Fungi; Ascomycota; Sordariomycetes; Ophiostomatales; Ophiostomataceae.